Molecule: transfer RNA, 72 nt
Filed under: Loxodonta africana (African savanna elephant)
Lineage: Eukaryota; Metazoa; Chordata; Mammalia; Proboscidea; Elephantidae
Rfam family: tRNA
About the family: Transfer RNA (tRNA) molecules are approximately 80 nucleotides in length.
Source: Rfam by way of RNAcentral
CCCUGGGUGGUGUAAACGGUUAAUGCAUUCAGCUUCUAACUGAAAGGUUGAAGGUUCAAGUCCACCCAGGGA